RNAcentral lists this ribosomal RNA (394 nucleotides) under Rhinella margaritifera (mitred toad). Its description in RNAcentral is "partial 16S ribosomal RNA". It matches the Rfam family "Bacterial large subunit ribosomal RNA", at positions 1967 to 2515 of the family's 2925-position model. The record is from RNAcentral. Lineage: Eukaryota; Metazoa; Chordata; Amphibia; Anura; Bufonidae.
ACUUGUUCUUUAAAUGCGGACUAGUAUGAAUGGCACUACAAGGGUUAUACUGUCUCCUUUUUCUAAUCAGUGAAACUAAUUUUCCCGUGAAGAAGCGGGGAUAUAACUAUAAGACGAGAAGACCCUAUGGAGCUUUAAACAACCCAGCAAUUACUUCUAAAAUUGUAAAUUUCAGAAUAUUCAUUUCUUAAGUAAUAUGUCUGCAAGUUUUUGGUUGGGGUGACCAUGGAGAAUAACAUAACCUCCAUAUUGAAUGAAUUCCCUUCUAAGCCGAAAAUUACCAAUUGAAGCAUCAACAUACUGACAUCUAUUGACCCAAUAUAUUUGAUCAACGAACCAAGUUACCCUAGGGAUAACAGCGCAAUCCACUUCAAGAGCCCCUAUCGACAAGUGG